AGCACCCACUGUGCCAGACAACAGACAUGGGUAAAUGGAUUUCAGAAGAAAAUCCUGCCUUAUACCGGCUGGAGAAGGUGCUGACAAAUAAGAGGACUUUGAAGGAUGUAGAGAAACUGAGCCCUCAUCACCAGACUUCAUCUGUUGAGGCUUUCCACAGCGUCAUCAUUCGUUUCGCCCCUAAAAGUGUCGUCUUUCCCUGUCUUGGAAUGCUGUGCAGACUCUACCUGGCUGCCAUGUACUAGAAUGAGAAUGCUGGCAGACCACAAGCCCAAACAACAGAAGGUGAACCUCUCUUCAAGGUUAACUUUCCAAAGGCCUUGAAGGGGGGAUGCAGAGCAAA
Long non-coding RNA from Notolabrus celidotus (New Zealand spotty), 343 nucleotides. RefSeq lists it as uncharacterized. NCBI's taxonomy places the organism in Eukaryota, Metazoa, Chordata, Actinopteri, Labriformes, Labridae. The transcript has 3 exons. The record is from RefSeq and is a predicted model, not a curated record.